RNAcentral lists this ribosomal RNA (403 nucleotides) under bacterium. RNAcentral's name for it is "partial 16S ribosomal RNA". It matches the Rfam family "Bacterial small subunit ribosomal RNA", at positions 355 to 776 of the family's 1533-position model. The record is from RNAcentral.
UGGGGAAUAUUGCACAAUGGGGGAAACCCUGAUGCAGCGACGCCGCGUGAACGAAGAAGGUAUUCGUAUCGUAAAGUUCUGUCCUAUGGGAAGAUAAUGACAGUACCAUAGAAGAAAGCUCCGGCUAAAUACGUGCCAGCAGCCGCGGUAAUACGUAUGGAGCGAGCGUUGUCCGGAAUUAUUGGGCGUAAAGGGUACGCAGGCGGUUUAAUAAGUCGAAUGUUAAAGAUCGGGGCUCAACCCCGCAAAGCAUUGGAAACUGAUAAACUUGAGUAGUGGAGAGGAAAGUGGAAUUCCUAGUUUAGUGGUGAAAUACGUAGAUAUUAGGAGGAAUACCAGUAGCGAAGGCGACUUUCUGGACACAAACUGACGCUGAGGUACGAAAGCGUGGGGAGCAAACAGG